GGAAAGGGCUGUGCAUUUGCAUGUGCCUUCUUUGAUGGGUUCCAGUAUCUGACCCAGGACCAACACCUGGAGAAGAAAAGUGAAGAAGAAGAAGAAAAAGAAGAAGAAGAAAAAGAAGAAGAAGAAGAAGAAGAAGAAGAAGAAGAAAAAGAAGAAGAAGAAGAAAAGAAAGAAGAAAAGUGAGGAGACCUCAUUGCAGCCUUCCAGUAUUUAAAAGGGAAUUAUAAAAAAGAAGGGGAACCAACUUUUUAUAAGAGUAGAUAGUGAUAAGACAAGGGGGAAUGUUUUUAAGUUCAAGGAAGGAAGGUUUAGAUUGGAUGUCAGGGGAAGUUCUUUACAGAGAGAGCGGUGAGGUGCUGGCACAGGCUGCCCAGAGAGGUUGUGGAUGCCCCGUCCCUGGAGGUGUUCAAGGCUAUGUAGGAUGGGGCCCUGGGCAGCCUGGUCUAGUGCUAGAUUUUGAGGUUGAUGGCCCUGCCUGUGGCAGGGGGUUGGAACCUGAUGAUCCUUGGGGUCCCUUCCAACCCAAAGCAUUCUAUGAUUCUAAGCCUGAAAGAAAAAGGUGAAGUCUUGAUUAUAUUGAAACUUAAGGGUUUUUUUUUUAAGUUUUCUCCCCAGCUUUCCUGCAACUCCUGUCUGAGACUCAACACCAAGCCCUUAGGUUAAUCCCUCCAGAUGCUAGAGCUCAGUUAAUCACAGCCGAGGCUCAUCAGGUUGACAACUGUCAAGGCGGACUGCAAGUCAGAUUUUGACCUCUAUUAGCUGGUGCGGUGUAAUUACUGAGUUAAGGAGAACAGGGGGAAAAAAAUAAUAAUCCAGAUUUGAUCCUUCCCAGAUGAAAUGACAAAAAUUAAUGAACCGGUGUAUCCUCUUCAGAGAUGUAAGGAGAUACACCUUGGGGUUAACAGCUGCAUUUCAGCAAGUCUUCAAAUGCACAGACGCAGCAAAAUCAGCUCCACAAAGAUUGGACAAUGCUGGGUCAGGAAGACACGGUACAUGUUUGUUAUCCUUAGAAAGACACAUUCUCAAGUGAAAAUUGACAGAACAAUUUUAGCAGCCGUAAAGCCUUUUCCUGAAGCUGAACAAAGGCCUGCAGAUGCUGCUGCUGCAGAGCUUCAAGGUGGCUCACUCUGUAUUUCCAUGUACAAAACAAGCCUUGCUAGGCCAAGUGGAUGA
RNAcentral lists this long non-coding RNA (1173 nucleotides) under Meleagris gallopavo (turkey). Its description in RNAcentral is "lncRNA (ENSMGAG00000019932.1)". The record is from RNAcentral. Lineage: Eukaryota; Metazoa; Chordata; Aves; Galliformes; Phasianidae.